Molecule: ribosomal RNA, 154 nt
Filed under: uncultured fungus
Lineage: Eukaryota; Fungi
Description: partial 5.8S ribosomal RNA
Rfam family: 5.8S ribosomal RNA
About the family: 5.8S ribosomal RNA (5.8S rRNA) is a component of the large subunit of the eukaryotic ribosome.
Source: RNAcentral
AACUUUCAACAACGGAUCUCUUGGCUCUCGCAUCGAUGAAGAACGCAGCGAAAUGCGAUAAGUAAUGUGAAUUGCAGAAUUCAGUGAAUCAUCGAAUCUUUGAACGCACCUUGCGCUCUCUGGUAUUCCGGAGAGCAUGCCUGUUUGAGUGUCA